AAUGAAGUGGACAUUUGAGUAUUUGUUUACCGAAAGAAACUGAAACAAAGCAAAGCAAAAACCCAACUCAAUCAUAAAGGAAUGAAGAUAGGACAAGCACUAUCCAGAGGACUUUAGAAAACCCAGGCAGGCCAUGCUGUGUUCUGGAAACCACCUGUGUCAUGACACCCAGAGGAAAUAUACAGCUGUGCUGCCUUCAUUUGUGGUACUUAAAAAGUGCUCCAGGCCAGAAGCCACAGACAUAAAAACCAGGAAUGUCUAUGGGAAAGUGAAGAACCCACUUCUGACAACAGCACUUGAAAAUAAGCUUGCUCACUAAAAACAAAUUUAACAGAUCUUUGCGGCAAAAGAGGUUUAACCUUGUACUUGUGGGGACUGCUUUUGUCCACUGUCACCUGUGUGCACACCCCUCUACUGGACUUCUUCCUAAAGUUCCUACUGCUGUCUUAGGGCCUUCCUCCUCUUCACAAGUCACUCCACCCCACGGUAAUUAGGUUUAACUAGAGCAAUUAACAAAACAAACUCCUUGCUGCUUAGUGGGCUGAUAAUUCUGAUUGCAAAAUUAUGUUAGGAUGUGCAGAGCAGUUUAUAACAAAGAUAAGUUAUGCAACCAUUUUGCAUAUAAUCCUUUUGUUUGUGUACAAAACAGAGUCCCACAUCUUAAAUAAUGCUGUCUAAAAUUACAUUUUGCUGAGCAUUAAGCUUUCUCAUACAAUAUUAACUCAGAUCUAAUGAACUUGAUUUGGGUUAUUGUUUCUAGUGCUAUAGAGUUGUAAACUAUUCAGACACAAAUGCCUCAUUUUUUUCUACUAAUAAGUAAAGUCAACAGAUGUUGAUGUUUUUUAAAAUGGAAAAUUGAUGGAAAUGUAAUCAAUACCAUUCAAUUUCCUGAAUACCUUCUAUACAAAAUACUAAGAUUCCAUGUCUAAAUUCUUCAUGAGCAUUAUCACUGUAAAUGUUUUUCUGUACACACAAAAAGUAGCAUCAUUUCAUUAUUAUUGCAUCUUAUUCAGUACUAG
Sciurus carolinensis (gray squirrel) is the source of this 1019-nucleotide long non-coding RNA. RefSeq lists it as uncharacterized. The transcript has 3 exons. The record is from RefSeq and is a predicted model, not a curated record. NCBI's taxonomy places the organism in Eukaryota, Metazoa, Chordata, Mammalia, Rodentia, Sciuridae.